UAUGCAGGUGACUGAACUGCACCAAAGCCUGACCCUGUGGGUGGUGAAUUUGCUGAGACACGUGACAACAGACCGCGUGUCCUGGGACCAUCCCUGGCAGCAAGAGUCAGACACCGAGAAGGAUGAGGAGCUCAGACUUCUGGAGGCCUGUAAGCUGCAGCACGGAGCUGAAGAGAUUGUUGCAGAGAUGGGCAGACUCUCUGGCUCCGUAAUCAGCUCCUGCCAUGAUAUUGUCAAUGCAAUCAUUCGAAAGAAACAUUCUGAAAUGGAUUUGGAAGCUGAUUUUGAGCUGGAGGAGCUGAAUAAGAUCGAGACUGAGUGCUGUAAUUGGAUUCAAGUGUGUAGUCUUCUCCUUUCAGAAAUCAGAGGCACUCCGGUCUCCCUUCUGGAUUUAGAAAAACU
This 402-nucleotide long non-coding RNA is filed under the name Calidris pugnax (ruff). RNAcentral describes it as "lncRNA (ENSCPUG00000017294.1)". The record is from RNAcentral. Lineage: Eukaryota; Metazoa; Chordata; Aves; Charadriiformes; Scolopacidae.